RNAcentral lists this small RNA (32 nucleotides) under Bombyx mori (domestic silkworm). Its description in RNAcentral is "ovarian small RNA-26800". The record is from RNAcentral. Lineage: Eukaryota; Metazoa; Arthropoda; Insecta; Lepidoptera; Bombycidae.
UCCAGCCGGCGAACGCGGCCCCGCACGGGGGU